Molecule: ribosomal RNA, 252 nt
Filed under: uncultured bacterium
Lineage: Bacteria
Description: partial 16S ribosomal RNA
Rfam family: Bacterial small subunit ribosomal RNA
Source: RNAcentral
ACGAGAGGUGCAAGCGUUAUUCGGAAUAAUUGGGCGUAAAGGGUGCGUAGACGGUUUGUUUAGUCUGUUGUUAAAUCUUUCGGCUUAACCGAAAAUCUGCAAUGGAAACUGGCAGGCUAGAGUGUGAAAGAGAGAAGUGGAAUUCUUGGAGUAGCGGUAAAAUGCGUAGAUCUCAAGAGGAACACCGAUGGCGAAGGCAGCUUCUUGGUUCACUACUGACGUUGAGGCACGAAAGCGUGGGGAGCAAACAGG